RNAcentral lists this ribosomal RNA (253 nucleotides) under uncultured bacterium. RNAcentral describes it as "partial 16S ribosomal RNA". It matches the Rfam family "Bacterial small subunit ribosomal RNA", at positions 524 to 776 of the family's 1533-position model. The record is from RNAcentral.
UACGUAGGGUGCAAGCGUUAUCCGGAUUUAUUGGGCGUAGAGGGCUCGUAGGCGGUUCGUCGUGUCCGGUGUGAAAGUCCAUCGCUUAACGGUGGAUCCGCGCCGGGUACGGGCGGGCUUGAGUGCGGUAGGGGAGACUGGAAUUCCCGGUGUAACGGUGGAAUGUGUAGAUAUCGGGAAGAACACCAAUGGCGAAGGCAGGUCUCUGGGCCGUUACUGACGCUGAGGAGCGAAAGCGUGGGGAGCGAACAGG